GGAGGUGUAGCUCAAUGGUGGAGUACGUUCUUAGCAAGCAUGAGGCCUUGGGUUCAGCUCCCAGCACCCA
Molecule: transfer RNA, 70 nt
Filed under: Heterocephalus glaber (naked mole-rat)
Lineage: Eukaryota; Metazoa; Chordata; Mammalia; Rodentia; Bathyergidae
Rfam family: tRNA
About the family: Transfer RNA (tRNA) molecules are approximately 80 nucleotides in length. Their secondary structure includes four short double-helical elements and three loops (D, anti-codon, and T loops). Further hydrogen bonds mediate the characteristic L-shaped molecular structure. tRNAs have two regions of fundamental functional importance: the anti-codon, which is responsible for specific mRNA codon recognition, and the 3' end, to which the tRNAs corresponding amino acid is attached (by aminoacyl-tRNA synthetases). tRNAs cope with the degeneracy of the genetic code in two manners: having more than one tRNA (with a specific anti-codon) for a particular amino acid; and 'wobble' base-pairing, i.e. permitting non-standard base-pairing at the 3rd anti-codon position.
Source: Rfam by way of RNAcentral